RNAcentral lists this ribosomal RNA (253 nucleotides) under uncultured bacterium. RNAcentral's name for it is "partial 16S ribosomal RNA". It matches the Rfam family "Bacterial small subunit ribosomal RNA", at positions 524 to 776 of the family's 1533-position model. The record is from RNAcentral.
UACGAAGGGGGCUAGCGUUGCUCGGAAUUACUGGGCGUAAAGGGCGCGUAGGCGGUUCUAUAAGUCAGGCGUGAAAUUCCUGGGCUUAACCUGGGGGCUGCGCUUGAGACUGUGGGACUUGAGGUCAGAAGAGGGUCGUGGAAUUCCCAGUGUAGAGGUGAAAUUCGUAGAUAUUGGGAAGAACACCGGUGGCGAAGGCGGCGACCUGGUCUGAUACUGACGCUGGGGCGCGACAGCGUGGGGAGCAAACAGG